Molecule: ribosomal RNA, 426 nt
Filed under: uncultured bacterium
Lineage: Bacteria
Description: bacterial SSU rRNA
Rfam family: Bacterial small subunit ribosomal RNA
Source: RNAcentral
UUUGAUCCUGGCUCAGAUUGAACGCUGGCGGCAUGCUUUACACAUGCAAGUCGAACGGCAGCACGGGGGCAACCCUGGUGGCGAGUGGCGAACGGGUGAGUAAUAUAUCGGAACGUACCCGGAAAUGGGGGAUAACGUAGCGAAAGUUACGCUAAUACCGCAUAUGCCCUAAGGGGGAAAGCGGGGGAUUCGCAAGAACCUCGCGUUUUCGGAGCGGCCGAUAUCGGAUUAGCUAGUAGGUGAGGUAAAGGCUCACCUAGGCGACGAUCCGUAGCUGGUCUGAGAGGACGACCAGCCACACUGGAACUGAGACACGGUCCAGACUCCUACGGGAGGCAGCAGUGGGGAAUUUUGGACAAUGGGCGCAAGCCUGAUCAGCCAUGCCGCGUGAGUGAAGAAGGCCUCGGUUCGGUUAAAGGUACGUAC